CUCCCGUUUCCGGUCAGAGGCACACUCCAUCCUUUUUUGGAUGGAUGGUCCCUCUGUGAGUGUGUGUGUUUGUGUGCUCGAGUGUGUGCUUAUGUUCUCGUCCGCGUACACGUGUAUUUAUUGGUCAAGGGGGCUUAAAUGAGCUUGUUCGAUGCCUGUGAGUGACCUUUGCCAAAACAGCAAUGGAAGUGUGUUUGUGCUUGCGUCUUCAUCACUGCAAGGCAGUUGGCGCCAGAUGACAGGCAUUUUUUUAUUUUUUUUUAGCUUGUGGUUUUGUGUCUGUUUCCCCAGCUUUGGACAGCAUGGUGGCGAAGGGACUGUGUCCGGAGGCUGAGUCACUCUCUCCUCUUAGUUACACCGCUUUGUGUUUUUGUUUGGAUCCUGAACGCGUCUGAAAUUAUAAAAAAGUGUACCUCCUCUUUCCUCUGAAAGGUUUCAUGUCAGGCCGCAUGUUUUCGGGAUGACACAAGCAACCUCUUCCAACUUCACAAAUCCACUUUGGGGUUCUGCAGUCCAGCAGGCAGAACAUGUCUGCAGCAAAUUGCGGAAUGGAAAAGCAACCUUCGUGCCAUGGAGGCGGGAAUGUAAUUAUACGCGACUGCUCCCCCACAUCUUCAACCACCACCUGGCAUGAUGUCUGCCUUCUUCAUCGCCCACCUGGUAAGCAGCCCGUGACGCCAGACUCCCCCUCGCCUUGCAAGCCUUCCGACGAGUCUGCUCUCCAGGCCUCGACCGCAGCAUGAGGAGGAGCAUCUGGGCCUCAUCUGAGCAUCUGUGCGCAACUUGAGAAACUGACCUGAACCUCAGCAAAAGAGAAGCACACAAAGCCUCAAAUAACCUCAUUUGGAUUCAUUUACUGCAAUGUCGCGUACUUAAAAUACAGGAUGUCAUAUUAGCAUACGGACUGGCCACUUCAUGAGUUACACCUGCACUUUUGAAUGAUCAACUGAUGUUCUUUCCAUGACCCUUCAAAGACCAACAGGCGCACGUUCCUACGAGAACCCGCGCAAUUGCGGUGGGAACGCAGGCAGUUCACGGGCCAGUUUCAAACUCGCCGAGGACACUGUGCCUGCAUGUCCAUUCAAGCAUGCAGUUUUCCAGUUUCGAGAUCCCAACCGCUUUGUCUUGAUUUCACACAUGAAAAAGAAACCCGCCAAUAAACUUUGGCAGAAACGGGUCAAAUUUGAUGCAGAACAGACUCGGCAUACACAAACUUGGCUAGUACCUGCAAAAAAAAAAAAGAAUGACACUUCAAAAGACUUUCAUUUUGGGUUAAUUUAAGAAGUUGUCAAAUAAAGUUGAAACGAAGGGCGACCGUCACUUAAAAGAAUCGCAUUAUUUCCCGCUACGUCUUCAGGCACUGCUGAGCUUAGCUCUUGCAUGGUACAUUCAUGUUCCACGCGAGUGUACCUAAUGAAGUGGCCUGUGAAUAUCCAUUGUACUGGACUGUGCUUGCUUGCUUGCAUCUUGUUCUGGGAUACAUCAUGCGCGCACUAGAUUUGCAUGCUGCAUAUUGGAUUGUAUCAAGAGAUGGCAGUAGGCGCGCUCCACAGAAACUUGGAUCUGAGUCAAAAUGGGCUUGCCGAUAAAACACACACACUUGGGAGAGACAUGGGGGAGGGGGGGAGGGGGGUGGAGAGGUUGGAGCACGCUGCCCUGAGUGGGCGUGGAGGAGUAGGAGGGAGGAUGCGCACCAUGUCACACAUCAAACUCCUCACAGGCCACAGGGGUUCACAUGUGUAGUCGAAGCAUCCAACAAGUGAGCACGUAAGAGAAGGAGAAGGCAGGAUGAUGAAAAACAGCGAGAACCACACACAGUCAGCCUUUUUUUUUUUUUUUUAGCUUCAACAUCUUCUUUCUUGUUGGCGUUUCAAGACAAGCUGUCAGGAAGCUUGUGCAAAUAUUGAGCAACACUCUCAGGCAACAGUUGGAUGAGCAGAGCGGGCGCUGCAUCAACAGAAACCUGCUGUGUAUAUUGUUCUUCUGUGAUUGCAGGAGCAUUCCCCGCUAAUUGCUCUUGUUCCUCAUUGCGGGCCAACUGCUGACACUGACAACAUCGGAGAUGUGAACGCGAAGGCAGACAAUUCAAUCGUGCACAGGACUGUGAGGACAAUGAGAGGAAGUAUGGAAAGGCCUUUAGUCCAUUUCCUUUAGGUCUAUGUGUUUGCUACCCUCUUUGUCCUAACCAGUAAGACCACUCAGUGCACUUGUAGAAGUCGGACACACAAGUCAGGCGACUGCGGUACCAGCAUUUUUUUUUUUGGAGGUGGGGGGGGGGGGGUUACCGUGUGAGAUUUGCACAGAAAAAGAGAUUGGUAAAAAUAUAUUUUUGUGUGUCAUUUUAACAACGGAACAUUUGGUACAAUGCUGCCAUCUGCUGGUUCUUCAGAAAAGUGCACAUAGAUUUUUCAGGAACUGCAAUACACUGAUUCUGUUCUCCCAAAAUACUCGGUCAUGAAUGCACGACCUACUUCCAUCAAUUGACAUGAGAAAUUAAUCGUGCGCAGCUGCACAACGAUGACAAAUAACGUGCCACAACCACGUACUGUAAUAUGUUUUCAACCAUUUUGGUGAAAUUCUUCCGACACACGCUUGUCAGUUUAAAUCCCAGAUGUGAGCAACAGAAGAUGACGCAUUACCUGACAUUCAUUUGCACAUUUAUUUCACUUAUCAGAAAAAAAGUCCUCAUAAAGCAGACUGUAUAAACUGUACACAAAAGCAAGGCACUACAGUGUAGUUUAAAAAAAUGCAUUACAUGAUCUCAAACCAUCUUUUGUUAGUCAUUAAUUAAACAACAAUCAUAACACAAGUUGCAUUAUUUUUGAUGACGUGGCAAAAUGGUUUACAAAAGAUUACUGGUACCAAAAAAAAAAAGCACUAUUAAACACAUUGUUUUCUAUCUCGGUAAAAUUUUAAUAUGCUUAGUUUUGUCCUACUUGGACAUAAAUAUAAAUUAUUUUCCCAAAGGAAUCAAACAAAUGAGACAAAAAGAGAUAUAAA
Hippocampus zosterae (dwarf seahorse) is the source of this 3000-nucleotide long non-coding RNA. RefSeq lists it as uncharacterized. Lineage: Eukaryota; Metazoa; Chordata; Actinopteri; Syngnathiformes; Syngnathidae. The record is from RefSeq and is a predicted model, not a curated record. The transcript has 2 exons.